GAACUAGAGUCCUCUGAACUCACUCUACUGGUGUGAAGGCCAGUGAUUUCCGUUGGGAAGCGAAGACCCCGUAGAACUUUACUGCAUCUUGUUGUUGAAAUGUAAGGUUUGCUUUACAGUGUAGGUAGUAGCCGUUAAAGUCUGUUCGUCAGGAUGGAUGGAGGCGUCAAUGGAACACUACCAUGCGAAGUUUACGUUUCUAACCCUUCUUUGAAGGGGACAGCAGCUGGUGGGCAGUUUGGCUGGGGCGGCACCCUGCUGAAAUGGUAUCAGUAGGGCCCAAAGGUUGACUCAUCCGGUUUAGAAAUCCGGAGUUGAGCGCAAGAGCAAAAGUCAGCCUGACUGGAUCGAGAACAUUAAUCAAUCCAGAGACGAAAGUCAGGUCUAGCGAACCUCUAUGUCCUCCUUAGUGGGGGCUAGGUACAACAGAAAAGCUAUCUCGGGGAUAACUGAGUCGUAGCGCCUAAGAGUUCACAUCGACGGCGCUGUUUGCCACUUCGUUGUCGGCUCAUCGCAUCCUGGCCGUGCACAAGCGGCCAAGGGUACGGGUGUUCACCGGUUAAAGCGGUUCGUGAGCUGGGUUCAAAACGUCGUGAGACAGUUUGUAUGAUAUCUAGCGGAAAUGCUUACAUCUGAGAGGAAGGAUGUUAUAGUACGAGAGGAACUAGCGUUCGACGCCUCUAGUUUAUCGGUUGUCUGACAAGGCAGGCCGAGCAGCCACGCGUUAAACCAUAACCGCUGAAAGCAUCUAAGCGGGAAGGGUGCCUCGAAUAAUAGAUGUAGAGUCGUUGUAGAACACAACGUUGAUAGGAUUGGGGUGUAAGUGCGAAGCUUCGGCGACGCAUUCAGCCUGCGAUUACUAAUCGUCUUGAAACUUAGAUUU
Molecule: ribosomal RNA, 883 nt
Filed under: bacterium
Lineage: Bacteria
Description: partial 23S ribosomal RNA
Rfam family: Archaeal large subunit ribosomal RNA
Source: RNAcentral